Molecule: ribosomal RNA, 497 nt
Filed under: uncultured bacterium
Lineage: Bacteria
Description: partial 16S ribosomal RNA
Rfam family: Bacterial small subunit ribosomal RNA
Source: RNAcentral
GAUGAACGCUGGCGGCGUGCCUAAUACAUGCAAGUCGAGCGAACAGACGAGGAGCUUGCUCCUCUGACGUUAGCGGCGGACGGGUGAGUAACACGUGGAUAACCUACCUAUAAGACUGGGAUAACUUCGGGAAACCGGAGCUAAUACCGGAUAAUAUAUUGAACCGCAUGGUUCAAUAGUGAAAGACGGUUUUGCUGUCACUUAUAGAUGGAUCGGCGCCGCAUUAGCUAGUUGGUAAGGUAACGGCUUACCAAGGCGACGAUGCGUAGCCGACCUGAGAGGGUGAUCGGCCACACUGGAACUGAGACACGGUCCAGACUCCUACGGGAGGCAGCAGUAGGGAAUCUUCCGCAAAGGGCGAAAGCCUGACGGAGCAACGCCGCGUGAGUGAUGAAGGUCUUCGGAUCGUAAAACUCUGUUAUUAGGGAAGAACAAAUGUGUAAGUAACUAUGCACGUCUUGACGGUACCUAAUCAGAAAGCCACGGCUAACUACGUG